Molecule: ribosomal RNA, 119 nt
Filed under: Pteropus alecto (black flying fox)
Lineage: Eukaryota; Metazoa; Chordata; Mammalia; Chiroptera; Pteropodidae
Source: RNAcentral
GUCUAUGGCCAUGCUACCCUGAACGAGCCUGAUCCCAUCUGAUCUCAGAAGUUAAGCAGGGUCAGGCCUGGUUAGUACUUGGAUGGGAGACCACCUAGGAAGACCAGGUGCUGUAGGUG